This 85-nucleotide transfer RNA is filed under the name Felis catus (domestic cat). It matches the Rfam family "tRNA". From Rfam's summary of the family: Transfer RNA (tRNA) molecules are approximately 80 nucleotides in length. Their secondary structure includes four short double-helical elements and three loops (D, anti-codon, and T loops). Lineage: Eukaryota; Metazoa; Chordata; Mammalia; Carnivora; Felidae. The record is from Rfam by way of RNAcentral.
GCCUGUGUGGCUCAGUCAGUUGAGUGUCUGACUUUGACUCAGGUCAUGAUCUCACGGUUUGUGGGUUCAAGCCCCACGUCAGGCU